This 292-nucleotide ribosomal RNA is filed under the name uncultured bacterium. Its description in RNAcentral is "partial 16S ribosomal RNA". It matches the Rfam family "Bacterial small subunit ribosomal RNA", at positions 505 to 796 of the family's 1533-position model. The record is from RNAcentral.
GUGCCAGCAGCCGCGGUAAUACGAAGGGGGCAAGCGUUGUUCGGAAUUACUGGGCGUAAAGGGCGCGUAGGCGGCUUACCAAGUCAGGCGUGAAAUUCCCGGGCUCAACCUGGGGGCUGCGCUUGAUACUGGUGAGCUUGAAUGCGGGAGAGGAUAGUGGAAUUCCCAGUGUAGAGGUGAAAUUCGUAGAUAUUGGGAAGAACACCGGUGGCGAAGGCGGCUAUCUGGCCCGUAAUUGACGCUGAGGCGCGAAAGCGUGGGGAGCAAACAGGAUUAGAUACCCUGGUAGUCC